ACUCCUACGGGAGGCAGCAGUGGGGAAUAUUGCACAAUGGGGGAAAGCCCAUCGAUGCAGCCAUGCCGCGUGUGUGAAGAAGGCCUUCGGGUUGUAAAGACACUUUCAGUAGGGAGGAAGGUAGUGUAGUUAACACCUGCACUAUUUGACGUUACCUACAGAAGAAGCACCGGCUAACUCCGUGCCAGCAGCCGCGGUAAUACGGAGGGUGCGAGCGUUAAUCGGAAUUACUGGGCGUAAAGCGCAUGCAGGCGGCCUGUUAAGUCAGAUGUGAAAGCCCGGGGCUUAACCUCGGAAUUGCAUUUGAAACUGGCAGGCUAGAGUCUUGUAGAGGGGGUGAGAAUU
Molecule: ribosomal RNA, 345 nt
Filed under: uncultured bacterium
Lineage: Bacteria
Description: bacterial SSU rRNA
Rfam family: Bacterial small subunit ribosomal RNA
Source: RNAcentral